GACGAACGCUGGCGGCGUGCUUAACACAUGCAAGUCGAACGGAAAGGCCCUGCUUUUGUGGGGUGCUCGAGUGGCGAACGGGUGAGUAACACGUGAGUAACCUGCCCUUGACUUUGGGAUAACUUCAGGAAACUGGGGCUAAUACCGGAUAGGAGCUCCUGCUGCAUGGUGGGGGUUGGAAAGUUUCGGCGGUUGGGGAUGGACUCGCGGCUUAUCAGCUUGUUGGUGGGGUAGUGGCUUACCAAGGCUUUGACGGGUAGCCGGCCUGAGAGAGUGACCGGCCACAUUGGGACUGAGAUACGGCCCAGACUCCUACGGGAGGCAGCAGUGGGGAAUAUUGCACAAUGGGCGGAAGCCUGAUGCAGCAACGCCGCGUGCGGGAUGACGGCCUUCGGGUUGUAAACCGCUUUCGCCUGUGACGAAGCGUGAGUGACGGUAAUGGGUAAAGAAGCACCGGCUAACUACGUGCCAGCAGCCGCGGUGAUACGUAGGGUGCGAGCGUUGUCCGGAUUUAUUGGGCGUAAAGGGCUCGUAGGUGGUUGAUCGCGUCGGAAGUGUAAUCUUGGGGCUUAACCCUGAGCGUGCUUUCGAUACGGGUUGACUUGAGGAAGGUAGGGGAGAAUGGAAUUCCUGGUGGAGCGGUGGAAUGCGCAGAUAUCAGGAGGAACACCAGUGGCGAAGGCGGUUCUCUGGGCCUUUCCUGACGCUGAGGAGCGAAAGCGUGGGGAGCGAACAGGCUUAGAUACCCUGGUAGUCCACGCUGUAAACGGUGGGUACUAGGUGUGGGGUCCAUUCCACGGGUUCCGUGCCGUAGCUAACGCUUUAAGUACCCCGCCUGGGGAGUACGGCCGCAAGGCUAAAACUCAAAGGAAUUGACGGGGCCCCGCACAAGCGGCGGAGCAUGCGGAUUAAUUCGAUGCAACGCGUAGAACCUUACCUGGGUUUGACAUGGAUCGGGAGUGCUCAGAGAUGGGUGUGCCUCUUUUGGGGUCGGUUCACAGGUGGUGCAUGCCUGUCGUCAGCUCGUGUCGUGAGAUGUUGGGUUAAGUCCCGCAACGAGCGCAACCCUUGUUCACUGUUGCCAGCACGUUAUGGUGGGGACUCAGUGGAGACCGCCGGGGUCAACUCGGAGGAAGGUGGGGAUGACGUCAAGCCAUCAUGCCCCUUAUGUCCAGGGCUUCACGCAUGCUACAAUGGCUGGUACAGAGAGUGGCGAGCCUGUGAGGGUGAGCGAAUCUCGGAAAGCCGGUCUCAGUUCGGAUUGGGGUCUGCAACUCGACCUCAUGAAGUCGGAGUCGCUAGUAAUCGCAGAUCAGCAACGCUGCGGUGAAUACGUUCCCGGGGCU
Molecule: ribosomal RNA, 1346 nt
Filed under: uncultured bacterium
Lineage: Bacteria
Description: partial 16S ribosomal RNA
Rfam family: Bacterial small subunit ribosomal RNA
Source: RNAcentral